Molecule: ribosomal RNA, 252 nt
Filed under: uncultured bacterium
Lineage: Bacteria
Description: partial 16S ribosomal RNA
Rfam family: Bacterial small subunit ribosomal RNA
Source: RNAcentral
UACGUAGGGGGCAAGCGUUAUCCGGAUUUACUGGGUGUAAAGGGAGCGUAGACGGUCCUGCAAGCCAGAUGUGAAAGCCCGGGGCUCAACCCCGGGACUGCAUUUGGAACUGAAGGCUAGAGUGUCGGAGAGGCAGGCGGAAUUCCUAGUGUAGCGGUGAAAUGCGUAGAUAUUAGGAGGAACACCAGUGGCGAAGGCGGCCUGCUGGACGAUGACUGACGUUGAGGCUCGAAAGCGUGGGGAGCAAACAGG